UUUUUAGCAGCCAUAAACAUGUGCAGUUGUUUAUUAAUCCAACAAUAAAAUGUAGCACUAGUAAGGCCAACACAAGUACAACCAACAACAUAAGAAUUUAUGCAGCCCUGUUAAUAUUUUCUAAUGUCCUACCAAUGUUUCUAGUUCCACAUCCUUGCACCAUCCUGCUAACUUGAGGGCAAAACUUCCCAGGUCGUCUCUGGUUAGGUAACAUAAUUGCAUAAAAUUAAGUACAAAAUAUUGGUUAAGUUCACACCAAAGGCCUGACUAGGCAACUUUUUGGCAAUCAAGCUUGAGCUUUUCUCUUUCCCAUGCAUUUCCGCACUAGUGACAGUUUAGACCUUAUUGAUCCAUUGCUUUCCUCCUCACUGUCUUCACUAUCCAGCACUAUUAUUGAUUCAGCUACUUGUGUUUCUUCUCCCCAUUGUUUAAUCUCGCCAUCAAGUUUUCCAUUCUGAGGUUGAUCAGACUGCUGCUUCCGAUAUUUAUUUGCAGGAAGUUCCCCUGAGCGCAAGAACAAUCGGCUAUUAUCCUCAUUGCUACCCUGCAAUUGAGUCAGAGGACUCGGAUGCAGUUUCCGAUCAUUUCCGGCCUUCCUUUGUGUUUUGGGACUUGAUGAUAAUUUGUGCAUCAGCAAAACAUUCUCCUUGUCAUCCUUUUCCUGUCCCCCUGACGAACCCUUAAAGCCCAAGGAAAGCUUCUUGCGUACUGAACAUACUUUCUUACAUUUAGUAUCAGUGGAGCCAUUUCCCGAUUUUUCCAUAGAAACCUGACAAGUCUGUAGUGCAUCAUUAUUAACAGAAGAGCUAAUGGUCAAGGCCCCAGGUGAUGAAUUAGAAUGGGAGUGAGAAGGUGAUAUUGCAGGAGUCACAAGCAUUUUCUCAUUAGUACCAUCAUUUGUUUGGCAUGCAUCCAAAGAUCUCCAUGGUAUUUUCUGGCUAACCUUAUAAAGAUUACCUGAACUCAUGAUUUUGCUGUCAUAUGUUGAUAUGCAGUCACGGUGCUGAUGUAUUUGCAGUUCAUGAAGGCUUUCACCCUGCAGUAAUGUUGACUCUGAAGAAGCCAUAGAAAGAGUCUGUGCAUUACAGGGUAAAUGUGGCUGCUUUGGGUCUCCAUCCUUCACAUCAGGACCAUCUCUUUCACAACAUUGAACUGAGGAUUCAAGAGAUAACUUCCUCCCAAUCUUACUUUGCUUCUCAUCUUUCUGACUGUACUUGUCAGGUAGAUCUCUUAACUCUUUUCUGUCUCUUUUUGUUUCCAAAUUUCCCAAGCCAAAUUUUAGGGGAUUUGGCACGUCACUUGCCUCUCCAUCACUUACCCUUUUAUGAGUUGAGCUUGAAGGUUUGAGCAACAGCUUCUGAUUGAUCCCACUUGGUUUAUUAUGAUUAGGAAUAAAAUCAUUGACUUCAUAUUUUGACUCUUUCUCUGAUUGUUGAACUUCCACCAUUGUGCUUAGAUCUGCAUUAGUUUGAAUGCACCAGGUCCUGCAAUUGUGCCCGCUAGCUCCAGUCCCGGCAUAUUUUUCAGUCAUAGCUCGUGCUUUUUGGUCAAAAGCCUUUCUAUUGUAUUUGAACUCCUUGCUCGCUUCAGGCAUUAGACCGUCAUCAGGAUUGGGUUCACUCAAUAACAGUCCUAUACUUGUUAGCACGGUUGAAAUAUUCAAUGAUGGUUGCCAUGCACCCUGCUUUAAUAAGAGCCUGAACCUUGUUAUAAAUAACAUCUAUGAAAGAAACAGAAGUUUAAAAUUUGAAAUGGCACAAAGAUUUGGAUUCUGUGUAAUUCAUUCUGCAAUAGCAAGAGAAAAGCAGUAAAGUCUCCGAUGGUUCAACCAUUGAGCAGUUCUUACUGUUUAGGAAACAUGUAAGUUCAGCCUUCCGGACACCAUCUUCAAGAUUACAGAUUUAUCAACAGGAAAAGCUUAUUCUUUCACAAUGAGUUUGACAAGUUAAAAAGAAAUUAGCACAUACCGUUGUUGCAAGAAGGGAAACAAAGUAUGGCAAACAAAUGCCAAAUCCAAAAAAAAUUAAUAGAUAAACCACUGGAAUAUAACCUGACUUCAGAAAUUAACUACUUUGUGAUUUGCACAAACAAUGUAAGGCCACAGCAAUAUCUAAAUGAACAUAAAUGCUAGCAGUUUUAACCACCAAUGGCACAAUUAACUUUGUUGAAAGACGAAUGAUGGAAAAAUUAUAUGAACAAAAUUGAAAUAUGUACAUAAGAACCAUGAGAAAUUUAAGAAAUUGGGCUAUGUUCAAGUUCAAAUUCCUUUGCCUAAAAGUAAGUGUGCUCUAUUGGAACCAAAUCCCAGCUAAAACCAUCAAAUUUGUAUACACCAUUUCAAAGGUUUUCCCUCUUACUAAACUAGAAAGUAGAAUUAUUUAGUUUUAGUUUCCAAAACUUCCUUCAAAUUAAGCAAUCACAAAUUCCCAUGGUAUGAAUAUUCCAAUUAAGAUCAUCAAUUCAUAAAAAAUUUAAACUUGAACAAAAUAUGAUGUUUAACAACAGACUGA
This 2510-nucleotide unclassified non-coding RNA is filed under the name Hevea brasiliensis (rubber tree). The record is from RNAcentral. Lineage: Eukaryota; Viridiplantae; Streptophyta; Magnoliopsida; Malpighiales; Euphorbiaceae.